This 1079-nucleotide ribosomal RNA is filed under the name Alexandrium catenella. RNAcentral describes it as "partial large subunit ribosomal RNA". It matches the Rfam family "Eukaryotic large subunit ribosomal RNA", at positions 78 to 1115 of the family's 3401-position model. Lineage: Eukaryota; Dinophyceae; Gonyaulacales; Pyrocystaceae. The record is from RNAcentral.
CUUUAGUAAUUGCGAAUGAACAAGGAUAUGCUUAGCUUGACAAAUGGAGCUAUUGGCUUUGAAUUGUAUUGUGGAAAUGUAUUACCAACAGAGGUGCAGGUGCCAGCCUAUUGAAAUAAAGCGUCAAUGAGGGUGAGAAUCCUGUUUGUCAUGUGCAGCCCUUUGUGCACGGUGUAUAUUUGCUGAGUCACACUCCUUGGCAUUGGAAUGCAAAGUGGGUGGUAAGUUUCAUGUAAAGGUAAACAUGCAAUUGAGACUGAUAGCACACAAGUACCAUGAGGGAAAUAUGAAAAGGACUUUGAAAAGAGAAUUAAAUGAGUUUGUAUUUGCUGAACACAAAGUAAACAGACUUGAUUUGCUUGGUGGGAGUGUUGCACUUGCUUGACAAGAGCUUUGGGCUGUGGGUGUAAUGAUUCUUUCUUUGCAUGCCAGUUUCUAUUUGUACAUCUGAUUACCUUUGCACAUGAAUGAUAAGUCUCCUGUGGGGGGUGGAUUGCAUGUGCAUGUAAUGAUUUGUGUUUUGAUAAAUGUGUCUGGUGUAUGUGUGUGUUCCUGUGCUUGGGGAUGCUUCCUUCCUUGGACUUACAAGCCCUGACACACACAUGCUGGCAAAAUGCUUCUGCUUGACCCGUCUUGAAACACGGACCAAGGAGUCUAACAGAUGUGCAAAGUUUGAAGGUGGUAUACCUUUGUGUGCAAUGAAAGUGUCAGCUGGGAUAUGUGCACCAGCACCCAAUUAAUUAGCGGACAGAGGUUUGAGUUGGAGCAUAUCUAUUAGGACCCGAAAGAUGGUGAACUAUGCCUGAACAGAAUGAAUUCAGAGGAAACUCUGAUGGAGGUUCGUAUCGAUACUGACGUGCAAAUCGUUCGUCAUAUUUGGGUAUAGGGGCGAAAGACUAAUCGAACCAUCUAGUAGCUGGUUCCCUCCGAAGUUUCCCUCAGGAUAGCUGGAGUUGCUCAGUUUUAUCAGGUAAAGCGAAUGAUUAGAGGAAUUGGGGACAGGUUUGUCUUUGACCUAUUCUCAAACUUUAAAUGGGUAAUAUGUAGUGGUUGCUGUAUGGAACUUCUAAGAUAAAUGG